UUAUAUUUUUAAAUGCGAGCGUUUUACAACCGUAAUACUUUUCAACGCUAGUGCAAGAGGGAGACCAGAAGCUUGUUGGUGAAAAAACCUGAGUGAUUCAUUCCUUCAUCUUGGACGUAUUGAAUUGUUAUUCACAAAGAUGCGACCAUCUUUCAUCUUAUCGGCAGUUUUUUUAUUUGGUAUCAUAACCCUUUCAUCUGCUAGUAGAAUCCCUCAUAGUCGUCAGGCAUGCCGGGUAGCAUGCGAGAACCAAGCGAGGAACUGUCACUUCAUUGAUGAUUGUCCUUUGUCGUGUGCUGAGGACGAUUACUAUUGCAUUCUGGGAGUGUGCUUAAAUACUUUAGGCUGCACUUCCAGGGGAAAGAGAGAUGAAAUUGAAACCACUGAAAUACAGAUUUGAUGAGCUGCUCAGUUUACGACUGGAAAGACAUUACAUCUCUAGGAGGCCGGAUCAUCGUUGGAAGAGGUCUCAGUAUGGAACAAAGAAAAAUAUAUACUGCCUUGAUCAUAAAAAUUAAAUAUAUUGAUUGGUAAAGAUAACAACUUAGAGCCAGCGCUUCAUCUAUAAAACACGGCACGUAAAAGCCUAACAACAAUUUUUUUCAUUUUAUUUCAAGAUGUUUUCAUAACGUGUACUCUCUAUUACAAGGAAAUUGCUUAACAAAUUAAAUUGUAACUACCGACUA
Stylophora pistillata is the source of this 686-nucleotide long non-coding RNA. The record is from RefSeq and is a predicted model, not a curated record. NCBI's taxonomy places the organism in Eukaryota, Metazoa, Cnidaria, Anthozoa, Scleractinia, Pocilloporidae.